RNAcentral lists this ribosomal RNA (112 nucleotides) under Klebsiella quasipneumoniae. Its description in RNAcentral is "partial 23S ribosomal RNA". It matches the Rfam family "Bacterial large subunit ribosomal RNA", at positions 2803 to 2925 of the family's 2925-position model. The record is from RNAcentral. Lineage: Bacteria; Pseudomonadati; Pseudomonadota; Gammaproteobacteria; Enterobacterales; Enterobacteriaceae.
GACUAUAAGUCUCCUGAAGGAACGUUAAAGACGAUGACGUUGAUAGGCCGGGUGUGUAAGCGCAGCGAUGCGUUGAGCUAACCGGUACUAAUGAACCGUGAGGCUUAACCUU